RNAcentral lists this ribosomal RNA (312 nucleotides) under uncultured Prevotella sp. Its description in RNAcentral is "bacterial SSU rRNA". It matches the Rfam family "Bacterial small subunit ribosomal RNA", at positions 354 to 661 of the family's 1533-position model. The record is from RNAcentral. Lineage: Bacteria; Pseudomonadati; Bacteroidota; Bacteroidia; Bacteroidales; Prevotellaceae.
UGAGGGAAUAUUGGGUCAAUGGGGCGAGAGCCUGAACCAGCCAAGUAGCGUGCAGGACGACGGCCCUAUGGGUUGUAAACUGCUUUUAUACGGGAAUAAAGUGAUGCCUGCGGGCGUUAUUGCAUGUACCGUACGAAUAAGGACCGGCUAAUUCCGUGCCAGCAGCCGCGGUAAUACGGAAGGUCCGGGCGUUAUCCGGAUUUAUUGGGUUUAAAGGGAGCGUAGGCUGUCCUUUAAGCGUGUUGUGAAAUGUAGGCGCUCAACGCCUGCACUGCGGCGCGAACUGAAGGACUUGAGUGUGUACGACGCUGG